AACGAACGCUGGCGGCAUGCCUAACACAUGCAAGUCGAACGAGACCUUCGGGUCUAGUGGCGCACGGGUGCGUAACGCGUGGGAACCUGCCCUUAGGUUCGGAAUAACUCCCCGAAAGGGGUGCUAAUACCGGAUAAUGUCUUCGGACCAAAGAUUUAUCGCCUUUGGAUGGGCCCGCGUUGGAUUAGCUAGUUGGUAGGGUAAAAGCCUACCAAGGCGAAGAUCUAUAGCUGGUCUGAGAGGAUGAUCAGCCACACUGGGACUGAGACACGGCCCAGACUCCUACGGGAGGCAGCAGUGGGGAAUAUUGGACAAUGGGCGAAAGCCUGAUCCAGCAAUGCCGCGUGAGUGAUGAAGGCCUUAGGGUUGUAAAGCUCUUUUACCCGGGAUGAUAAUGACAGUACCGGGAGAAUAAGCUCCGGCUAACUCCGU
Molecule: ribosomal RNA, 432 nt
Filed under: uncultured bacterium
Lineage: Bacteria
Description: partial 16S ribosomal RNA
Rfam family: Bacterial small subunit ribosomal RNA
Source: RNAcentral